CGAAGCGAAAUGCGAUACGUAAUGUGAAUUGCAGAUCUCAGUGAAUCAUCAAAUCUUUGAACGCACAUUGCGCUCUCUGGCAUUCCGGAGAGCAUGCCUGUUUGAGAACCUUGACGUCCUUCGCAAAAGCACCCUCCUCGAUGAUGAAUUGAGGCCGGGUUUGCGGAUUUGAACCAUCUUUGUCGGCCGGCAAUCUCUUGCCCACGCCGCGGAGAGGUUUCAAUUGCAUUUGGUCUGCAGCUGCCAAGCUUUCCCACACUGAAGAUGUGUGCGACAAAGACGUGAUAAUGUGGGGAAACUCAUUUAUAGCGUUGACACCUCGCGUCAUUCUCCUCUGGGACUCCAAAGGCUUGGUCAAAGCUGAUGAUCUCCUUCACAAAAACGCCAGGCGGAGGGACCCUCAUCGGGGGAAUCUCCGUACACCUGAACACCUGGUCUCAAAUCAGACAAGACUACCCGCUGAACUUAA
This 469-nucleotide ribosomal RNA is filed under the name uncultured fungus. Its description in RNAcentral is "eukaryotic LSU rRNA". The stretch from base 1 to 111 matches the Rfam family "5.8S ribosomal RNA", at positions 44 to 154 of the family's 154-position model. The record is from RNAcentral. Lineage: Eukaryota; Fungi.